CAUGCAAGUCGAACGGAGUGUUGCGCUGAAAUUGAGAUUAGCUUGCUAAAGGAUAUUUCUUGUGACACUUAGUGGCGGACGGGUGAGUAACGCGUGAGGAACCUGCCUUACAGAGGGGGACAACAGUUGGAAACGACUGCUAAUACCGCAUGAUGUGGGGGGGAGACAUCUCCCUUUCACCAAAGGAGCAAUCCGCUGUAAGAUGGCCUCGCGUCUGAUUAGAUAGUUGGUGGGGUAACGGCCUACCAAGUCGACGAUCAGUAGCCGGACUGAGAGGUUGAACGGCCACAUUGGGACUGAGACACGGCCCAGACUCCUACGGGAGGCAGCAGUGGGGGAUAUUGCACAAUGGAGGAAACUCUGAUGCAGCAACGCCGCGUGAGGGAAGAAGGUUUUCGGAUUGUAAACCUCUGUUUUUAGUGAAGAAACAAAUGACGGUAGCUAAAGAGGAAGCCACGGCUAACUACGUGCCAGCAGCCGCGGUAAUACGUAGGUGGCAAGCGUUGUCCGGAAUUACUGGGUGUAAAGGGUGCGCAGGCGGGAUUGCAAGUUGGAUGUGAAAUACCGGGGCUUAACCCCGGAGCUGCAUCCAAAACUGUAGUUCUUGAGUGGAGUAGAGGUAAGCGGAAUUCCGAGUGUAGCGGUGAAAUGCGUAGAUAUUCGGAGGAACACCAGUGGCGAAGGCGGCUUACUG
This 694-nucleotide ribosomal RNA is filed under the name uncultured bacterium. Its description in RNAcentral is "bacterial SSU rRNA". It matches the Rfam family "Bacterial small subunit ribosomal RNA", at positions 54 to 731 of the family's 1533-position model. The record is from RNAcentral.